RNAcentral lists this long non-coding RNA (374 nucleotides) under Ananas comosus (pineapple). RNAcentral describes it as "long non-coding RNA (ACOM_LNC022082)". The record is from RNAcentral. Lineage: Eukaryota; Viridiplantae; Streptophyta; Magnoliopsida; Poales; Bromeliaceae.
UCUUAAGCAUGCUUAUUCUGUUGGCUUAAAUGGGCUACUAUUUUGCCAUAUGGUGUGAGAUCAUAUUGAGCGAAGUUAUAUUUGAAAUGGUGUGAGGCUAGAUUGUGUGCAACUAUUCUGCCAUAUGGUGUGAGGUCAUAUUGAGCUAAGUUAUAUUUGAAAUGGUGUGAGGCUAGGUUGUGUCUAGUCAUGUUCGAAAUGAUAUAAGACUGAUUUGAACGAAUCACAAUCGUGAUCUGUGAACGCUGUUUAUAUGUUUUAAGUUAAUUAGUUGCAUAUUGCUAACAACUCAGAUUUUUGAAAAUAAUAAUUGAUGUCAGCGAUUUGACUAGUGGUCACGUAUCAAAGUCAGAGAUACGGGUUCGAUUCCCGUG